Molecule: ribosomal RNA, 628 nt
Filed under: Corynebacterium sanguinis
Lineage: Bacteria; Bacillati; Actinomycetota; Actinomycetes; Mycobacteriales; Corynebacteriaceae
Description: partial 23S ribosomal RNA
Rfam family: Bacterial large subunit ribosomal RNA
Source: RNAcentral
AUCUUAUCCGCCGGAUGACUAAGGGUUCCUGGGUCAAGUUCGUCUUCCCAGGGUGAGUCGGGUCCUAAGGCGAGGCCGACAGGCGUAGUCGAUGGUUAACGGGUUGAUAUUCCCGUACCCGUGUAUAUGCGCCCAAGGGUGAAUCGGUGAUACUAACCACCCUGACCGCACCAUAUGAUGAUCCCUUCGGGGGUUGAUCGGUGGUGUGUGAUGCGUGGGGCCUAAACCGUAGUAGCCCAGUGAUGGGGUGACGCAGUGAGGUAGCCUAGCCACUUAUUGGAUUGUGGUGUAAGCGUGUGGCACGACGAUGAGUCAAAUGCUUGUUGUCACAAAGUGUGAGGCGUGAUGCGUAACCCCUGAAGGGGUGAUGUAGGUGAUCCUGUACUGCCGAGAAAAGCCUCUAGCGAGUGUGUACACGGCCCGUACCCGAAACCGACACAGGUAGUCAGGUAGAGAAUACUAAGGCGGUCGGGUGAACUGUGGUUAAGGAACUCGGCAAAAUACCCCCGUAACUUCGGGAGAAGGGGGACCUCUACCGGUGCGCAGCUUUUACGGUUGUUGUGCUGGUGGGGGUCGCAGAGAAUAGAGGGGAGCGACUGUUUAUCAAAAACACAGGUCCGUGCGAAGA